UGCUAUCUGCAGUCGAGCGGACAGAAGGGAGCUUGCUCCCGGAUGUUAGCGGCGGACGGGUGAGUAACACGUGGGUAACCUGCCUGUAAGACUGGGAUAACUCCGGGAAACCGGAGCUAAUACCGGAUAGUUCCUUGAACCGCAUGGUUCAAGGAUGAAAGACGGUUUCGGCUGUCACUUACAGAUGGACCCGCGGCGCAUUAGCUAGUUGGUGAGGUAACGGCUCACCAAGGCGACGAUGCGUAGCCGACCUGAGAGGGUGAUCGGCCACACUGGGACUGAGACACGGCCCAGACUCCUACGGGAGGCAGCAGUAGGGAAUCUUCCGCAAUGGACGAAAGUCUGACGGAGCAACGCCGCGCGAGUGAUGAAGGUUUUCGGAUCGUAAAGCUCUGUUGUUAGGGAAGAACAAGUGCAAGAGUAACUGCUUGCACCUUGACGGUACCUAACCAGAAAGCCACGGCUAACUACGUGCCAGCAGCCGCGGUAAUACGUAGGUGGCAAGCGUUGUCCGGAAUUAUUGGGCGUAAAGGGCUCGCAGGCGGUUUCUUAAGUCUGAUGUGAAAGCCCCCGGCUCAACCGGGGAGGGUCAUUGGAAACUGGGAAACUUGAGUGCAGAAGAGGAGAGUGGAAUUCCACGUGUAGCGGUGAAAUGCGUAGAGAUGUGGAGGAACACCAGUGGGUGAAGGCGACUCUCUGGUCUGUAACUGACGCUGAGGAGCGAAAGCGUGGGGAGCGAACAGGAUUAGAUACCCUGGUAGUCCACGCCGUAAACGAUGAGUGCUAAGUGUUAGGGGGUUUCCGCCCCUUAGUGCUGCAGCUAACGCAUUAAGCACUCCGCCUGGGGAGU
Molecule: ribosomal RNA, 850 nt
Filed under: uncultured bacterium
Lineage: Bacteria
Description: bacterial SSU rRNA
Rfam family: Bacterial small subunit ribosomal RNA
Source: RNAcentral